CCUACGGGUGACAGCAGUGAGGAAUAUUGCACAAUGGGGGGAACCCUGAUGCAGCGACGCCGCGUGGGUGAAGAAGCGCCUCGGCGCGUAAAGCCCUGUCAGCAGGGAAGAAAAUGACGGUACCUGACGAAGAAGCCCCGGCUAACUACGAGCCAGCAGCCGCGGUAAUACGUAGGGGGCAAGCGUUAUCCGGAUUUACUGGGUGUAAAGGGGGCGCAGACGGCGAUGCAAGCCAGGAGUGAAAGCCCGGGGCCCAACCCCGGGACGGCUCUUGGAACUGCGUGGCUGGAGUGCAGGAGGGGCAGGCGGAAUGCCUGGUGUAGCGGUGAAAUGCGUAGAUAUCAGGAGGAACACCGGUGGCGAAGGCGGCCUGCUGGACUGCAACUGACGUUGAGGCCCGAAAGCGUGGGGAGCAAACAGGAUUAGAUACCCUGGUAGUC
Molecule: ribosomal RNA, 440 nt
Filed under: uncultured bacterium
Lineage: Bacteria
Description: partial 16S ribosomal RNA
Rfam family: Bacterial small subunit ribosomal RNA
Source: RNAcentral